RNAcentral lists this ribosomal RNA (395 nucleotides) under uncultured bacterium. RNAcentral describes it as "partial 16S ribosomal RNA". It matches the Rfam family "Bacterial small subunit ribosomal RNA", at positions 523 to 918 of the family's 1533-position model. The record is from RNAcentral.
AUACGUAGGGUGCAAGCGUUAAUCGGAAUUACUGGGCGUAAAGCGUGCGCAGGCGGUUUUGUAAGACAGUGGUGAAAUCCCCGGGCUCAACCUGGGAACUGCCAUUUUGACUGCAAGGCUGGAGUGCGGCAGAGGGGGAUGGAAUUCCGCGUGUAGCAGUGAAAUGCGUAGAUAUGCGGAGGAACACCGAUGGCGAAGGCAAUCCCCUGGGCCUGCACUGACGCUCAUGCACGAAAGCGUGGGGAGCAAACAGGAUUAGAUACCCUGGUAGUCCACGCCCUAAACGAUGUCAACUGGUUGUUGGGGAUUUAUUUUCUCAGUAACGAAGCUAACGCGUGAAGUUGACCGCCUGGGGAGUACGGCCGCAAGGUUAAAACUCAAAUGAAUUGACGGGG